Molecule: long non-coding RNA, 145 nt
Organism: Haliotis rubra (blacklip abalone)
Lineage: Eukaryota; Metazoa; Mollusca; Gastropoda; Lepetellida; Haliotidae
Exons: 3
Source: RefSeq, a predicted model, not a curated record
GUUACAUGGUAAUCUAUAUAUAUAUUAUCCCAUGUAAACAGUCAUAAUGGUUUACGAUGUAUAUCACAGAUUAUACAAACUAUACACUCAACAUAAAAAUAAUGGACCACCCCAACAUUCAAUAUAUAUAUAUAGAGAGAGUGAA